This 781-nucleotide ribosomal RNA is filed under the name uncultured Neocallimastigales. RNAcentral's name for it is "partial large subunit ribosomal RNA". It matches the Rfam family "Eukaryotic large subunit ribosomal RNA", at positions 18 to 646 of the family's 3401-position model. Lineage: Eukaryota; Fungi; Neocallimastigomycota; Neocallimastigomycetes; Neocallimastigales. The record is from RNAcentral.
UCAGACGAUGCGUCAUGCAUAUCAAUAAGCGGAGGAAAAGAAACUAACAAGGAUUCCCCUAGUAACGGCGAGUGAAGCGGGAAGAGCUCAAAUUUGAAAUCUUAAAGGGUUUCCCUUUACGAAUUGUAGUUUAAAGAAGUGUUUUCUGUUGAGGUUUUUGGUAAAAGUUCUUUGGAAUAGGACAUCAUAGAGGGUGAGAAUCCCGUAUUUGACCUUUACUUUCAACUUUGUGAUACACUUUCAAAGAGUCGGAUUGUUUGGGAAUGCAGUCCAAAAUGGGUGGUAAAUUUCAUCUAAAGCUAAAUAUUGGCGAGAGACCGAUAGCGAACAAGUACCGUGAGGGAAAGAUGAAAAGAACUUUGAAAAGAGAGUUAAACAGUACGUGAAAUUGUCAAAAGGGAAGCGUUUGACACCAGUGUUGUUUUUCUGAAAAUCAAUUAAAGAACUGUUUAUGCUUAAGCUGUUUAGGAUAGACUUUAUCAGCUAUCUGUUUAGUUUUGAGCUUUUCUUUAAUGCACUUUUCAGUUAACAAGUCAACAUCAAUUUCUUUUGCUGUAAAAAAGCUUGAGGAAGGUGGCUUGAGAUUCGUCUUAAGUGUUUAUAGCCUCUUGCCUAUGCAGUCGGAGAGAUUGAGGUCUGCAGCGUAGAUCCUUCGGGGCUAAAUGCAUUUGUGCUAAGUUAUAGCAUUUUAUAGACAACUUGUUGACUAUGAUUUGUCUUGUAGCUUACUCGCUUAUGUUAUUUUACCUACGCUUAGGAUGUUGACACACGCGCGUGCUCG